This is a long non-coding RNA of Podarcis raffonei (Aeolian wall lizard), 685 nucleotides long. RefSeq lists it as uncharacterized. Lineage: Eukaryota; Metazoa; Chordata; Lepidosauria; Squamata; Lacertidae. The transcript is spliced from 2 exons. The record is from RefSeq and is a predicted model, not a curated record.
CUAACUGUAUCCUCACAGGGCCUCCUGAUGCAGCCAGUUAUUAUGGGCUUGCAUUUUCUGCACUUAGGAUGCUGAUAAAUGUCAUCCCAAGUUCAUUUUCCUUCUUUUUUAACCAUUUAGGAGGGGUGGGGGAGAAGUUGCACCUGAAAACUGGGGAAGUUAGAAGUUUGGUGCUUACCCAAAGAUACCGUUCCUGGCAAUCUUGAGGUUAUUCGUGGGGAGGGUGACAAACACCAAAUCACAGGAGAGGAGAGUAAACAAUAUAUCGCAUGACUCUUGAAAAUAAGCUAUCUACGGGAUUCACUUUGAAGUUUAUAAAGCCGGCAAUACUGCUCCAACUUCCCAGUUGGUAUUGAUUGGCCUGGUUGAUGUUGACACAUGGUGCCUCCUGCAAGCAGAACUCAGGAAAGGGAAGCAGGUCCUAAGUUUGUUUUCCAUGUGAUAUACAACUCUAAUCUGGAAGACUUUUGGUGGGAAGGGAAUUUAUGGGCCCAGUCCUUGCCAGGUCUCCAAACUGGCAGAUGCAAUCUCCACCCUGCUGAAAAACAGCUCUGUCAAAGAAAGUGCCAAUUUCAGUAACCAAUGUCAAAGAAGCAUCCAGGCCCACAAACCACCCUUUGAUGUGGCGUAUAGAUAUAUAUAGAACCACUUGUCAAAAAAAAAAAAAAACAACCCACACACAAAA